The sequence is a regulatory RNA element, 92 nucleotides long. It matches the Rfam family "TPP riboswitch aptamer (THI element)". From Rfam's summary of the family: Vitamin B(1) in its active form thiamin pyrophosphate (TPP) is an essential coenzyme that is synthesised by coupling of pyrimidine and thiazole moieties in bacteria. The previously detected thiamin-regulatory element, thi box was extended, resulting in a new, highly conserved RNA secondary structure, the THI element, which is widely distributed in eubacteria and also occurs in some archaea. Analysis of operon structures identified a large number of new candidate thiamin-regulated genes, mostly transporters, in various prokaryotic organisms. The record is from Rfam.
CACAUAUGACUGGGGUGCCACUAUGGCUGAGAUUAAACCCAUUGAACCUGCUCUGGUUAGGACCAGCGAAGGGAACGCGUCUAAUUUAGACU